AUCUUUAGACCAUUUUUGUGGAUGGUGGUGGUGGUGAUGACGAAGCCCGGGGGGGCACUCCCAUAUAGAAUGGACUGGGUGCUCGUAGGAAAUUUUGAAAAGAACUCCUGAGAGGUACUAAGACCAUGUUUUGUGGGCGUGGCCUGAAAUGUUUUUCACCAAUUAUAAAACAACACAUAAACUGACACUGACUUUUUUCGGCUCGAUAUACAGGUAUACCCUAAAAGGAAAGUGCGAAAGCUCCUGCUGUGGCAGUAUGUUUGUGACCGAGUGAGACUGGAUGAGAAUGCAACCUCGUCCCCAGGGCCUUCUCCUCGACGAUUUUCAAAAUGGCGGCUAUCAAAAUGGUGGCCAGCAGCAGUGUGAUCAAUACGAGCAAAAUUAUCGCUCAUUAUUUCGGUAAAUACAAAACGUCCAGUCAGUCUCCUGGCUUAGAAGUAAGCUAGUAGACACUGAUGAUUCUUCUUCUACUGGCAUUGGUGAAACGGAUGUGUUCAACAAGAAAGGCAAUUGAUCCACAGUGUACCAAGAGAAUGGAUCGCAUUUGAGGUAUUUGAAAUCAUGCUAAGAUUGACAGAGAGGCAACCAACUGCAUGGCAAAUGGGUUCCAUUCUGAGAUACAUGUAAGAAAGAGACAAUGAAAAGAGCUGCACUGUGCAUGUACUGAGAUCAACUGGUAUGGAGAGACAAUGGACAAGAGAUGUAUGGUAUGGAGAGGUGUGGAGAGGGAUGAUGGUCCCAUCCAAGGUUGGAAAAGUACAGUCAAGCAACAACAAAAUUAGUUGAAUGGUAAUAAAGGCUGAGAGGGAAAUUAUUAAUCACAUACAGUUAGUACCUAGCCUAUGGACUCCAUUGUGAGGCAAGUUGUUAGAGACAUAGAUCACAUGAUCAAGGACCGUGGACCCAGAACGAUCCAGGAUAGAGGACCCACCCAGGACAGAGGACACAGUACAGAGGACAGAGGACCAAGGACUCAGAACAGAAGAUCAAGGAGCAAGGAUAGGACUGACGACUGACAACUGGGGAUCAAGGCAAGCCUUGAAUGACAAACUUUCAUAAGUUGAUUUAGAUAUAUUAAGGUAUAUGAGAUAUUACCAGCAGCAGAGUCGGCACAGUGCACCUUGCCCCGAGGGUUUUUCUCCGGGUACUCCGGUUUCCCUCACUCCUGAAAAACCAAUAUUUCUAAAUUCCAAUUAACAAAAUUGGUGACACAUUGCGGUGGGCCAACUGAGAUGAAAAAUUCUUUGAUUAAUUACUCAAGGUAAGCAUUUGUAAUACCAAUUUAUUACUCUCUGUUUAUUUGCUAGUUACACGUGCACAUGUGGUUUCGUGGUCUCCUUUGCACCUGUCAUUUUAGUUAAUGAGCAAAUUGGAAAGAAGCUUUAUUUAUUUUCUGUCUCUUUCAUAGAUCCUUUUUUAAUCAUAGGUAAAGGGAAAUUCCCAAGUGAAUCAAUCAAUCAAUCAACCAACCAACCAACCAACCAACCAACCAACCAACCAAUCAUUUAAUCAAUCAAUCACUCAAUAACUCCAUUAAUAGUUAAGAUAAAAAUCCCAGGAUAUGCAGCUAACUGAAAUAGCAAUUACCAACCUUUAAAUUCAACAUUGUAUUUCAAUACCACGUUGAUGCACAUGUAACUAGUACCCAUGUAAACAGAGUAUUGAACUGACUAGUGUGUUGUGUGGGUGUCGUUCAUUUGCAAAUAAGUGGCUUGCUUGUCACAUUUUCCAUACAGUUCAUUAUAUCGGAGCCAGGAAUUAUGCCAAUAGCAAUCGCUAAAAAUUAACUGAAACUCAGUUAUGGGUAAAUCUGUUUCUGUGAAUUAAAAGUUUGGUAAUUCUUGUUGUAUUUUCAUGCGUAAAGACAUAAAACAAAAAGAGCCGACAUUUUGUUCAAAAUUGCCUUAAAAAGUAAAUUUUCGCAACUAUUAUUGUUGAAUUCAGAAACGGACAAAAAUUUCAAAAACCCAUGCAGAAAAUAAACCAAAAUUAAUCAAUUCAUCAUUCAAUUAGAACUAAUUUAUGAAACGCUCUUUAUAUUAGAAAAGAAACCUAAACUGAACACUCAAUCUAAUUCAAUCAAAGCAAAACUAUUUAGUUCUUAAUUAAUACUCUCUACAUUCCACAUUGUAGUGUUUUUAAUCAGAUGCAACAAGACUUUCACAUGCAUUCUCAAUAUGUAAAGAACUCACAAGAAUAUGACUUUUAGUUUUACGAAUUUGAAAAUGAUGAAUGAGUCAUCAAAAGGUCAUUCAAAGUCAUUAUCGCCAAUUUUUAUUCUUAAUUGUUUGUCCAAAGCCUCCAUUGUGAGAAAAUAAAGUCAAAAUUCAUUUGCCAUUUUAUUUAUUUUUUACACGUGUACAGACAUUUUGAGUGCUCAUUAAAAAUUCUCAUUUUUAAAUUCUAGGAUGCUCUUAAAUGCAAAGCUAAAAAUAUUCCUAUUGAGUUCUAAGGACAAUUUAUUUCAGUUCC
Molecule: long non-coding RNA, 2472 nt
Organism: Orbicella faveolata
Lineage: Eukaryota; Metazoa; Cnidaria; Anthozoa; Scleractinia; Merulinidae
Source: RefSeq, a predicted model, not a curated record